GAUGAACGCUGGCGGCGUGCCUAAUACAUGCAAGUCGAGCGAACGGACGAGAAGCUUGCUUCUCUGAUGUUAGCGGCGGACGGGUGAGUAACACGUGGAUAACCUACCUAUAAGACUGGGAUAACUUCGGGAAACCGGAGCUAAUACCGGAUAAUAUUUUGAACCGCAUGGUUCAAAAGUGAAAGACGGUCUUGCUGUCACUUAUAGAUGGAUCCGCGCUGCAUUAGCUAGUUGGUAAGGUAACGGCUUACCAAGGCAACGAUGCAUAGCCGACCUGUGAGGGUGAUCGGCCACACUGGAACUGAGACACGGUCCAGACUCCUACGGAAGGCAGCAGUAGGGAAUGUUCCGCAGUGGGCGAAAGCCUGACGGAGCAGCGCCGCGUGAGUGAUGAAGGUCUUCGGAUCGUAAAACGCUGUUAUGAGGGAAGAACAUAUGUGUAAGUAACUGUGCACAUCUUGACAGUACCUAAUCAGAAAGCCACGGCUAACUACGU
Molecule: ribosomal RNA, 496 nt
Filed under: uncultured bacterium
Lineage: Bacteria
Description: partial 16S ribosomal RNA
Rfam family: Bacterial small subunit ribosomal RNA
Source: RNAcentral